CCCUUAGACGUUCUGGGCCGCACGCGCGCUACACUGACGAAGGCAACGAGCUACUCUUCACCGAAAGGUGUGGGUAAUCUUUUGAAACUUCGUCGUGCUGGGGAUAGAUCCUUGCAAUUUUUGAUCUUAAACGAGGAAUUCCUAGUAAGCGCAAGUCAUCAACUUGCGUUGAUUACGUCCCUGCCCUUUGUACACACCGCCCGUCGCUACUACCGAUUGAAUGGUCCGGUGAAAUCCUCGGAUCGAGCCGUGGGGCAACUCCGGUUCGAGAAGUUGAUUAAACCUUACCAUUUAGAGGAAGGUGAAGUCGUAACA
This 315-nucleotide ribosomal RNA is filed under the name uncultured eukaryote. RNAcentral describes it as "partial 18S ribosomal RNA". It matches the Rfam family "Eukaryotic small subunit ribosomal RNA", at positions 1470 to 1796 of the family's 1831-position model. The record is from RNAcentral.